AUGUUCUCUCUAGCUUUGCUGCUGCUGCUGGCUGCAGGAUCCUGUGUGAAGUGUGAACAGCUGACUCAGCCAGACUCUGUGACUGUGCAGCCAGGUCAUCGUCUGACCAUCAGCUGUCAGGUCUCUUAUUCUCCCAGCAGCUACUGGACACACUGGAUCCGACAACCAGCAGGGAAAGGACUGGAAUGGAUCGGGAGGAAAAGUACUGGAGGAUCUGCCUAUAAAAAUUCACUGAAAACCAAGUUCAGUAUUGACUCAGACACUUCCAGUAAAACAGUGACUCUGAAUGGACAGAACAUGCAGCCUGAAGACUCUGCUGUGUAUUAUUGUGCCAGACAGUCACACAGUGUGAAGUGUGAACAGCUGAUUCAGCCGGCCUCUGUGACUGUGCAGCCAGGUCAUCGACUGACCAUCAGCUGUCAGGUCUCUUAUUCUGUUAGCGACUAUUGGACACACUGGAUCAGACAAACUGCUGGGAAAGCACUGGAGUGGAUUGGAGAUGCACAAGUUGGAGGUUCAUCAGACUACAACAAGUCACAUAAAAACAAGUUCAGCAUUUCUGCAGACUCUACCAGUCAAACAGUGACUCUGAAUGGACAGAACAUGCAGCCUGAAGACUCUGCUGUGUAUUAUUGUGCCAGAAAGACACAGUGA
Molecule: non-coding RNA, 654 nt
Organism: Cololabis saira (Pacific saury)
Lineage: Eukaryota; Metazoa; Chordata; Actinopteri; Beloniformes; Belonidae
Source: the annotation of a RefSeq genome assembly